UGGGAUAAGUUGCUUUCAGGACCAGCUUG
This 29-nucleotide non-coding RNA is filed under the name Mus musculus (house mouse). The record is from RNAcentral. Lineage: Eukaryota; Metazoa; Chordata; Mammalia; Rodentia; Muridae.